CAGCAGCCACGGUAAAACGAAGGGUGCAAGCGUUACUCGGAAUUACUGGGCGUAAAGCGUGCGUAGGUGGUGGUUUAAGUCCGUUGUGAAAGCCCUGGGCUCAACCUGGGAAUUGCAGUGGAUACUGGGUCACUAGAGUGUGGUAAAGGAUAGUGGAAUUUCCGGUGUAGCAGUGAAAUGCGUAGAGAUCGGAAGGAACAUCUGUGGCGAAGGCGACUAUCUGGGCCAACACUGACACUGAGGCACGAAAGCGUGGGGAGCAAACAGGAUUAGAUACCCCCGUAGUCCCUGUCUCUUAUAC
RNAcentral lists this ribosomal RNA (301 nucleotides) under uncultured bacterium. RNAcentral describes it as "partial 16S ribosomal RNA". It matches the Rfam family "Bacterial small subunit ribosomal RNA", at positions 509 to 807 of the family's 1533-position model. The record is from RNAcentral.